RNAcentral lists this long non-coding RNA (3858 nucleotides) under Sus scrofa (pig). RNAcentral's name for it is "lncRNA (ENSSSCG00060038531.1)". Lineage: Eukaryota; Metazoa; Chordata; Mammalia; Artiodactyla; Suidae. The record is from RNAcentral.
CCUUUUCUAGGGCCACUCCCUCAGCACAUGGAGGUUCCCAGUCUAGGGGUCUAAUCGAUGCUGUAGCCACUGGCCUAGGCCUCAGCCACCACAAUGUGGGACCUGAGCCUUGUCUGCAGCCCACGGCAACACCAGAUCCUUAACCCACUGAGUGAGGCCAGGGAUCAAACCCGCAACCUCAUGGUUCCUAGUCGGAUUCGUUAACCACUGAGCCACGACGGGAACUCCUGAAUUAGACACCUACUGCUUGAUGGAUGGGGAGAUGAUAAGGUCAUCCUGUAGAAGAGCUUGUGAGACAUGCAAUAUGUCUUUGGAAUGUGCCAUCUGCCAUUGUCUUUGGAAUGUGCCAUCUGCCAUAACCAGUUUGGACCUCAGUGUGAAGUUAGACAAAGUUGCCUCUCCACUCCUACAGACCUAGUCCCAUGACUCUCCUCCUGUUUGUUGCCUUUACCCUCAAAUUCUUCCACAACCCAGAUUCUACUUUUCUCUAACAUCCCUUACAGAACUUCACUAUUUUGAGUCCCACUUUCCUCCUGACCCCAUUAGAUAACUGGAGGCAGCACUUGGCAGUGGAAAGAGCGCUGAAUGAAAAGUCACCUCCCAAUGCUUCUACCAGUGAUCCAGGUUCUCCUAGGCAACUCACCACAACUGCAGUUUUCUCAUUUACAUGAUACAGGCAUGUGGGUUUGGGGGAUAAGAUAAAACCAUCUUCAACAUCAAUUCUAAUCAUUCCUAAAUCUAAUAUGAGUUCAGGAGUAAACGGAUAACCACAAAAGAUCGCUAUUUAACCCUGCUAAAAAUAUUUAGUUAUAUCGUUCUUCAACAAUUUUGAGUAAAUACGGAAGAGAGGAGUUCAAAUGUCCUUUGGCAGCCACAAAUAGGUAAAAAGCUAGCAAAAAUAUGAAGAAUGCCACUGAAAUGACCAUGAAUGGUUUGUUGCAAAUACAUAAUCUAAGGGAUGUAUUCUAAGUUCCUCCAGUAAUGUGAUAGUUCACUGAACAUUAGCAUGGUUGUGAAGGGGAGACUCUACUGGAAGCAGUGACCCAGGGGUGCAUGUUCUUUCCAUUUUGUGGUUAUACAGUAGUUAUACCAUCUGGACAUGUGACCAUGGAGGAAGACAGAAGAAUGGAGAGGGUGGGGACCACACAGGCAUAUUUAUGUGCAACUCAGAAGUAGAGCACAUCACUCCUUCCCACAUCUUAUUGGCCAGAUUGCUGUCACAGGGUCUGAACCAACCCGUGAGAGAGUCUGGGAAAUGUAGUCUUCCUUUGUGCCUAGAAAAAAAGAAAUGGAUUGGCAAACAUCUAACACAUGACAGGACCACUUACAAAGGAGAUGUACUUUGUUUCCACCUUACACCAUUUGCUGCUUGGGGCCAUUUAAAGAGCUAUUCAUUGUCCAACCAAUUGGAUUCCAUAACCCAGAUCUCUCUUUGGUGGUUGAAAUAGCCAGAACAUGGUGUAUAAAAGCACAUACACACAUUCUCUCUCUCUCUCAUUGCUAGCAGCAAAUGUGCUAACAGCAUAGUUGAUUUGGGUCUAUUAAUAAUGGAUCCUCAUAAUAAGCAUAGCUCUGUGUCAGACACCAGGCUGUGUGUUUUACUUUCGUGCAUUAUCUCAAUUGAUCUUCACAGAAUUGUGUGAGGCAGUCAUUCAUUAUUAUUCUCAUUUUACAGAUGAGGAAAUGAAACUCAAGUGAGAUAAUUUGCUCAAAGUCAUCCCAUGACAAAGUGGCAAGGUCGGGACCCAUAUCUGAGUCCAUCUGGUUCUCGAACCAGUGCUCUUAACUGCUAUGCUGUACUGACCUCCCAUGUGUAAAGACACUGCCAGAGUGAGGAGGAAGGAGAUCCCAUGGGGAAGGAACUUCAGGCUUUUCUCAUCUUAUAGGCACAGUAGUUCUAAGUGUGACUUUCUGACCCUCCCAAGAGUUUUGCAUACAUGACCUGGACGGAUGCUGCACACAGUCCAGCUUUAUGUUGCACCACAGGAUGACGUUCCCACUGCUCUGCUCUGUCUCAAAGCCCGCUCCAUUUUCCACCCUGGCACAGGGAAUGAUCCCAGUGUGGAGCUUGGCUAUAAAACUCAGCCUGCACCACACUUGCUCACACUUGAUAUAUUGCCAUAUGCUAUCUUAAAAUGCUUGUAUGUGCAGCUUAAUCUUUGCACCUACAGGGGAAACGAGACCAAAGCCGUGCCUUUCCCCCAGCACCUAGUGCUGUACAAGGCACAGCAGAGGUGUCCGAGAAACACAUGCUGAUAUAGAGUGAGCAGCCAUGACGUCACCUCUGUACCUCAGUUUCCUCCUUUAUAACAUUAAGGGCUUUGGCAGGAGAAUAUCUAAGGGCUCAUCCAGCUCUAUGAUUCUACAUAUUGCUAGGCAUUCCUCUUCAAGGGCAUCCUGUUCAAAAACUUCAUAAAUUUUUCCUGCAAAGCCAAAGUCACUGAAUGGUCACAGGGCAAGGAUAGUCACAUAUUCACUAACUAACUAACCUUUCCAAACACAUGUGAUUAUAACUGAGUUUCCAUAAAGAAAAUUGCCUUUUAAAGUGACAGGAAGCCAUUAUUGUAAAAUGACUAAUAAUGCAGCAAAGAGCCGUAACGUGAUUCUUGCCCAAGUCAUUAAUCAAUUGAUGCAUUUUAACAAGGAGCUUCCUUAUGCAUUCGCUAGUCAUUUAUUCAAAUCAAGUAAAUAUUGUCCACAUUGUCCACUGAGAAAGAACAGGAUGAUUUAUUAAGGAAUUGAGAAGACCACAUUUCUUGGAGAAAUUUUACAAUGAAGGAUUCUUUCAAUAAAGUGUUUUCAAGGAGUCAGAUGGCCCUAUGGGCUAUGCAAUGUGUUUGCAUAUCUUGGAGCCUCAUCGAAUUCUGUCUAGCAGCCUAAUGCAGUGAGGUUUAAGGCUACUCCCCUUGCCUCCUGGAUCAGUUGCUCUCACACUUGAGGACAAUACCAUUCAAGAGGCAAUAGCUUGGUAACAAAGACCCUGAUAGCCAUUUGUACUUUUAAGUCAAUGGCUUGCCUCCCUUCCUGGUUUAUCAAAUACGUAGGUACUUUGCAAACCAAAAGCUUCGAACUUAGAUGGGUUUCGUUGGAACCUGGCAGCAUCUCCUAGCAGGAUUUGUCAGCUCUAUUCCAUAGCUAUUAUCACUUCCACAAGGAGAGGACAGAGGCAAGAUAGUUCUAGGACCUGCAACCAAGGACUUUUUCCUGUUUAGAAGGAAAUGCUCAAAACAACCUCAAAUGUGAAGCUACUGGAAAACUAUAGAUGAUGAUCCACUUACCACUAACCAGGAUAUGAUAACAUUGAAGGUCAGAGCAGUCAAUAGGUGCCAAGUUAGGGCAAAAUUUAGACCAGAAUAUAUCUACCCAAUGGCAAAGUAUCUCGUAAAUUCAAGUAAUUUUUUAAAGCAUAUCCUUUAAAUUUAGGUAAGGAUAUAGAUAUAUAGAGAGUGAUUUUUUUUUCCUUUCAUAUGGGCUGUUGAAACAUCCUAGAAACACUACCUGGGACUUUUCCCAGGAGUUUUGUGAUCUGAUUUUUGCCAACUGGCCUCAAACACAUCUGUACACACACUCAGAGACACGUACGCCAAUACAGAGUUAGCAAGCUUCUUCACUUUUUACUGUGGCCCCCAGACACUUAGAGGAUUCCCUGUCCCCCAGAAAGAACAUUGCCAAGGCUCCUGCAAGUGUGGAAGAGUGUACUCCUUCCUUCCAAAGAAAUGAUGGAAUUAAAAGGGAGGCUCAAAAUCCGAAGCAAAAAAGGGAGGCUCUGUGUGGGCAACAUCUUAAGCCACCUCACCUUGCAUUUUUAUCAUAUAUAAGGGUCCAUUCGGAGCUGUAGCCACCAGCCUAUGCCACAGC